UCGCUCCUACCGAUUGAAUGAUCCGGUGAAGAAUUUGGACUGUAGUAGCUUUCAAUGUCUUGAAUUCUAUUAUGGAAAAUCUUGUGAACCUUAUCACUUAGAGGAAGGAG
This 110-nucleotide ribosomal RNA is filed under the name uncultured eukaryote. RNAcentral's name for it is "partial small subunit ribosomal RNA". It matches the Rfam family "Eukaryotic small subunit ribosomal RNA", at positions 1676 to 1785 of the family's 1831-position model. The record is from RNAcentral.